This 253-nucleotide ribosomal RNA is filed under the name uncultured bacterium. RNAcentral describes it as "partial 16S ribosomal RNA". It matches the Rfam family "Bacterial small subunit ribosomal RNA", at positions 524 to 776 of the family's 1533-position model. The record is from RNAcentral.
UACAGAGGUCUCAAGCGUUGUUCGGAUUCAUUGGGCGUAAAGGGUGUGUAGGUGGCGCGCUAAGUCGGGUGUGAAAUUUCGGAGCUUAACUCCGAAACUGCAUUCGAUACUGGAGUGCUUGAGGACUGGAGAGGAGACUGGAAUUCAUGGUGUAGCAGUGAAAUGCGUAGAGAUCAUGAGGAAGACCAGUGGCGAAGGCGGGUCUCUGGACAGUUCCUGACACUGAGACACGAAGGCUAGGGGAGCAAACGGG